Molecule: long non-coding RNA, 2464 nt
Filed under: Homo sapiens (human)
Lineage: Eukaryota; Metazoa; Chordata; Mammalia; Primates; Hominidae
Description: HSALNT0177672
Source: RNAcentral
AAUCAAAGCCAUGCCCUUCAGAUGUGGUUUCCCAAGCCUCCCUUGGUUUCAUGACUGCGAGGGACCUUCUGCAGCCACCUGGGCUGGUACGUGGAUGGGACCCUGUGACUGGAAGCCCCAACCCUGCAAAGGCAGUGAGUGUGCAACGUUGGGGGGCAUGGCCGGCCACACACUUUCCUUAAUGGGAAACAUUGCUCACUUCCAGACUUCCAGAGGCUGGCACCAGGGACUCGAUUGUCACUGAGUAAGCUGUAUGCAGCCCCUGUGCCCACCAUGGCAAGACCCCUGCCGUCACCCACCUGACGGCUGCCCUGGCCCUGCCUCAGGAGGCUCCCUCGCCUCCAGCCACAUGGGGAGUCUAUAAAGAAAUAUGCACAAGCAGCAUCAUUCAGCAGGAUUUCAGACCAGAAAGAACCCUCCCGUCAGAGACUGGUGGCCAUACAAGGGGAUUCCUUUGGUGACGAAUAAGCCAGUUGGUGUGCAGGGUGUUCACUGCAAGGCCCAGACAGGACUACAAGAGACCAGGACUGUCCUCAGUAUGUGAUCUCUCUCUCCUCUGGCGUCAGCUCUACCCAGGAACGGAUGUGAAGGCUGAAGCCCAGGCAAGGGCUCAUAGUGUGGGGACCGUGCAGCUGGAUUCAUGUCCAGUGGAAUUUGACACCAUGGCCGUCAUCAUCAUGUUUUGCCGUCAUCAGCACAGACCUCUGAGCAGAAAUGCCAGAACAAUGUGGGGCCACCCUGGAGAUUUAUUUUAUUUAUUUUUUAAAUUAAAUUAAAAUUGUUUUUAAGAGACGGGGUCUUGCUAUGUUGCACAGGUUGAUCUUGAACUUCUGGGCUCAAGCAAUCCUCCUGUCUUGGCCUCAGAGUGUUGGGAUUACAGACCUAAGCCACCGCGCCCGGCCUGGAGAUGUAUUUUAAACUGACAUCUUGGGAGAAAUAAAAGCCUUCCUUUUCCCUGUGUGUCGGUAGCGUAAGUAGUGAACUGGGAAGGAUUUCUCGGGGCCCCUGCCCUGAGCUCCUAGACCUUCUCUCCCACGCCAUGUUACACAACAAAAUCUGACUCUGAAAGAUCAAUUGGGUCCAGCUUGGGGUCUGAUGGGCAGACGGGCUUAAGCAAAGCCCCCACUUGACUUCAAGAGAGGAGCUUGGGGCCCACAUAGACAUCGAGGCCUGCACAACGUAGCUAAUUGGCCCUAACAUUUUUCUUUCUUGAAUUUUAAAUCCUUUUAGCAACAGAUUAUACAACAAAGGCUGAACUCAUUGGGGCCGUCAUUAGGCUGGCGGAAAACGCUGGCUUGGCUGUUCCUUGGCGAAUCUCCUUACCGGGUUAUUUAGAGGUGCCGUGUGUCUCUCUUGGGGACAUGCACACAAAUGUAAAGAAUGUCUCUGAGCCACAAUGACAUUUUCAUUAGCCGUGGCUCACAGAGGAGCCUUUCCUGGCAGUUCCAAUCCGGAAGGUUCUUAUCCUGCUCUCUGGCUUUCUUGCUCUGGGUGAAAGGCAGGCACCGUAAUCCAAGCCAAACACCCCGACCUUUGACCCCCACAUGGUGCUUGCUGUCAGGGUGGGGGUUCUUCUGGGGUGCAUGUCUGAGGCCUGACUGGGCUGCACACUGUCCCAGAGUGCCCUGCCUUUGGCCAGGACAAUUCACCUCAGCCCCUUUUGUCCCAACAGCUUUUGAUCUUGCCUGCCUGUCACCCAGGGAAAGAGCCUGCCUAGGCCCUGUCCCACACCUGCCUGCAAACUGACAGCCAUGGCUCCCCCAGCCCCACUGCAGCAGCCUUAACCCUUUCUCUGCCUGACCUGCAGGGCCUGCACCUACCUGUCUCCAGGGUGCUGGGGCCUCAGGCUUUGGCCAAACCAGAACAGGACUAGAAAAGAAUUCUUCUGAGGGUCCAAGGCCUCGUCCUACCGCCCCUACUGUGAGUGUGGGACUGACAAAGGAGUUUGGAGAGCAUGAGUCCCCUAGAAUGGAGCUCCCAGGAAAAGCCAAAGAGAAAGCCCCAGGCCACUGGGCCUGGACUUCGCCCCACGGCAAGGUCCCCGCCCACUGGCUAGGCAGGUGCUUUUGUGAAACUGACAUUUUCUCAGCUGCACCUCUACCGCUGCUGAUGAGCUUUUCAAUACACUCUUUCUUGUAUUGAGACAGAGCCAUGUUUUCAUAACUUGGCACUACAGCAAAGAAAGACAUGGGGUCCUUGCUGCUCAGUCCUGGUGCCCGGCCCAGUGUCUGGGGUGCCCACCUUGCCCAGCGUGUGCUGGGCAUGCAGGGGCACUUCCCUAGGGCCAAAACCUGGGAGCUUUCCUCCAGGCCAAGACGCAAGUCUCUUUGUUUUUACGGUAGCUUUGUUGAAAUGUAAUUUACAUACCAUGAAAUUCACCCGUUGAAGGCAUGCAAUUUAGAAGGUUUUAUUCAUAGAGUUGUAUGAAUUCUCUAUUUCCCAAGGCCAUUUUUUUAAAUAUAAG